Long non-coding RNA from Rhineura floridana, 466 nucleotides. RefSeq lists it as uncharacterized. The transcript is spliced from 4 exons. Lineage: Eukaryota; Metazoa; Chordata; Lepidosauria; Squamata; Rhineuridae. The record is from RefSeq and is a predicted model, not a curated record.
UGGAAAACGAAAUGGUGGUUUCACCCCCUGUUUAUCUGAAAAUCUCAUAAAUUGGUGUUAAAACAAAAGUGGGAAGAGGAUGCUACCGAGUGAGGAGCUCUGCCAGAACAGUGAAGGCACAACAUGUCUACAGAGUCAGGUUGCAAAGUGCUUUGAGUACAGUAAUGUAGAAAGGUGGUAUACAAAUUAAAGAUAAAUGAAUAAUGACAUGGUUGCUGGCAGCAGCUCAGCUUUCUGUUGCACCAAAGUGGAAAAUGGCACAGGAUCUUCAUUUGCCUUCACAAGAAUGUAUGGAACUUAGGAAUCUCUGAGAAGUUGACCCAUUACUUAAGGGUGUCCAGUGAGUCUGAGGAUGCAGAGAAUUUCUACGUGACCUGGUGGGAGUUUCUUUUUCCACAGACACUGGGGAAUAUAGUUAUUUUUUAUGUGAACUCUAUUUUGGUGGAUUUGUAUCUGCCUAUGUACU